Molecule: unclassified non-coding RNA, 340 nt
Filed under: uncultured Agaricales
Lineage: Eukaryota; Fungi; Basidiomycota; Agaricomycetes; Agaricales
Description: sequence contains ITS1
Rfam family: 5.8S ribosomal RNA (bases 1-105)
Source: RNAcentral
GAAAUGCGAUAAGUAAUGUGAAUUGCAGAAUUCAGUGAAUCAUCGAAUCUUUGAACGCACCUUGCGCUCUUUGGUAUUCCGAAGAGCAUGCCUGUUUGAGUGUCAUUAAAUUCUCAACCUCACCAGUUUUCUGAUGAGGCUUGGAUGUGGGGGUUUGUGCAGGCUGCCUCAGCGCGGUCUGCUCCCCUAAAAUGCAUUAGCGAGUUCAUACUGAGCUCCGUCUAUUGGUGUGAUAAUUAUCUACGCCGUGGAUUGGGCUUAGACUUGCUUCUAACCGUCCGCAAGGACAACUCUAUGACAAUUUGACCUCAAAUCAGGUAGGACUACCCGCUGAACUUAA